CAGCAGUCGCCGCGGGAAUACGAAGGGUGCAAGCGUUAAUCGGAAUUACUGGGCGUAAAGCGUGCGUAGGCGGUGAGUUAAGUCUGCUGUGAAAUCCCCGGGCUCAACCUGGGAAUGGCAGUGGAUACUGGCUCGCUAGAGUGUGUCAGAGGAUGGUGGAAUUCCCGGUGUAGCGGUGAAAUGCGUAGAGAUCGGGAGGAACAUCAGUGGCGAAGGCGGCCAUCUGGGACAACACUGACGCUGAGGCACGAAAGCGUGGGGAGCAAACAGGAUUAGAUACCCCCGUAGUCCCUGUCUCUUAUAA
Molecule: ribosomal RNA, 304 nt
Filed under: uncultured bacterium
Lineage: Bacteria
Description: partial 16S ribosomal RNA
Rfam family: Bacterial small subunit ribosomal RNA
Source: RNAcentral